CAAUAGCGUAUAUUAAAGUUGUUGCGGUUAAAAAGCUCGUAGUUGGAUUUCUGCUGAGAACGACCGGUCCGCCCUCUGGGUGUGUAUCUGGCUCUUUCUUGGCAUCUUCUUGGUGAACGUUGCUGCACUUGACUGUGUGGAGCGCUACCCAGGACUUUUACUUUGAGGAAAUUAGAGUGUUUCAAGCAGGCAUACGCCUUGAAUACAUUAGCAUGGAAUAAUAAGAUAGGACCUCGGUUCUAUUUUGUUGGUUUCUAGAGCUGAGGUAAUGAUUAAUAGGGAUAGUUGGGGGCAUUCGUAUUUAACUGUCAGAGGUGAAAUUCUUGGAUUUGUUAAAGACGGACUACUGCGAAANGANNNGCCAAGGAUGUUUNCAUNGA
Molecule: ribosomal RNA, 380 nt
Filed under: uncultured eukaryote
Lineage: Eukaryota
Description: partial 18S ribosomal RNA
Rfam family: Eukaryotic small subunit ribosomal RNA
Source: RNAcentral